Molecule: non-coding RNA, 506 nt
Organism: Paramuricea clavata
Lineage: Eukaryota; Metazoa; Cnidaria; Anthozoa; Malacalcyonacea; Plexauridae
Source: the annotation of a GenBank genome assembly
GGGGGGUGCGCAUCCCCCAGAAAAUCCGUCCUUGUAUGGAGCACAUAUGACCAUUCUGUAACCUUUACAUAGUACCUUAUUUUACAGGCCUAAAAGUAACUGAAGAACAGCUGAAGGAGGCAGCUACGCUAUCUGGCAUUUUGCAAGUACCAGAUGACUAUUUGGAGCCAAAUGUUAGAGCAGAAUGUGAAAGACUGAUCCCUGAUCAUGACACAAUCAAACCAAAUGAAUGCCAAGAUGCAUACUUAUACUUGAAACAACAUUAUAAUAGUUAAUUUUAACAUGUCAAUUUUAAUGUUCUUUAUAAUAGAUGUCUAUAGAUGCAUGUCUGUGCAAUCAAGAUAUGGAAGAUGACUUCCUUGAUGCCUCAUUUAGAAGAUGUGAAUCGCUUCUACCAAAAACAGAAAAGAUAGAACCUAAAGAUUGUGCAUCUGCAUUCAUAUAUCUCAAAGAAAACUUUAACACAACAUUGUAGAUGCUACAUAUAGAUGUAAACUAAAUUUAAA